CUGUGAUAUCGUGACACCAAAUCGCCUGCACUGCAGCCGUCCCGCUAGACCACACGACCACCUGGGCUCUCAAUAAAGAGCUUUCGGUGGGCAUGUGUUACCUUUCCACGUCAGUUUUAAUCUAGCGGCGUACUACAGUACAUGAUAUAUAAGGCAUGAAGAUGUUAUUGUUACAGAUCAGCUAAAUUAUCUAUAGUAAAGGAUCCAACAAAUUAAUGUAAGAUAC
This 226-nucleotide long non-coding RNA is filed under the name Mytilus galloprovincialis (Mediterranean mussel). Lineage: Eukaryota; Metazoa; Mollusca; Bivalvia; Mytilida; Mytilidae. The record is from RNAcentral.